UGUUAGUUCCCUCGUGGAAGAACUGAAGACUGAGGCAGGAGAGAGCUGAGAGAAGAAGCUCUCUGCGGGCGCUGGAGGUUGUGGAGUGGACACAUGGACGGGUUGCAAGGGCAGCAAUUCUAUUAGAAGACUUCCGAGCAGUAUUUUGAAGAAAUGAAGACUGCACUGGGAGAAGAUGCUGCUGGACCACAGGACCACAGUUUGCAAGAAUUCUAUUCUAACAGGAGGCCUUCACUCUGAAGAAGCAAAGAUCAAGUAACGAGAAUCUCUCCCGCAGAAUCCUCAACAGCCAAAGAAGUGGAGAAUAUCCCCCAGGGGAUCCUCGACAGCCCUCCCACCACCCUCGAAAUCCCUCUCACAGCUCCUUUUGGAGGAGAAGGAAUGAACUCUACGAAAGGUUAAAUACAAGUUUGUCGUGUAUCAGAGACAAGGAAUAACUUUUAGCAGACAUUUCUAGAAACUGUUACCCAGUAUUUUACUUUGUCCAUGCAUUAUUUUGUGUUGUCAUAAUUAGAAUUUUUCCCUCAA
Molecule: long non-coding RNA, 528 nt
Organism: Halichondria panicea
Lineage: Eukaryota; Metazoa; Porifera; Demospongiae; Suberitida; Halichondriidae
Exons: 4
Source: RefSeq, a predicted model, not a curated record